Molecule: ribosomal RNA, 567 nt
Filed under: Vishniacozyma victoriae
Lineage: Eukaryota; Fungi; Basidiomycota; Tremellomycetes; Tremellales; Bulleribasidiaceae
Description: partial large subunit ribosomal RNA
Rfam family: Eukaryotic large subunit ribosomal RNA
Source: RNAcentral
GAGCUCAAAUUUAAAAUCUGGCGUCUUUCAGGCGUCCGAGUUGUAAUCUAUAGAGGCGUUUUCCGCGCCGGACCGCGUCCAAGUCUCUUGGAAUAGAGUAUCAAAGAGGGUGACAAUCCCGUACUUGACGCGACAACCGGUGCUCUGUGAUACGUUCUCAAUGAGUCGAGUUGUUUGGGAAUGCAGCUCUAAAUGGGUGGUAAAUUCCAUCUAAGGCUAAAUAUUGGCGAGAGACCGAUAGCGAACAAGUACCGUGAGGGAAAGAUGAAAAGCACUUUGGAAAGAGAGUUAAACAGCACGUGAAAUUGUUAAAAGGGAAACGAUUGAAGUCAGUCGUGUGAAAGGUAUUCAGCCGUCUCUGGCGGUGUAUUUGCCUUUCACGGGUCAACAUCAGUUUGAUCCGGUAGAAAAAGGCGGGAGGAAGGUGGCACCCUCGGGUGUGUUAUAGCCUCCUGUCAUAUGUGCCGGACCAGACUGAGGAACGCAGCUUGCCGCAAGGCCGGGGUUCGCCCACGUACAAGCUUAGGAUGUUGACAUAAUGGCUUUAAACGACCCGUCUUGAAACAC